RNAcentral lists this ribosomal RNA (481 nucleotides) under Lasiodiplodia theobromae. Its description in RNAcentral is "eukaryotic LSU rRNA". The stretch from base 126 to 279 matches the Rfam family "5.8S ribosomal RNA". Lineage: Eukaryota; Fungi; Ascomycota; Dothideomycetes; Botryosphaeriales; Botryosphaeriaceae. The record is from RNAcentral.
CCUCCGGCUCGACUCUCCCACCCUUUGUGAACGUACCUCUGUUGCUUUGGCGGCUCCGGCCGCCAAAGGACCUUCAAACUCCAGUCAGUAAACGCAGACGUCUGAUAAACAAGUUAAUAAACUAAAACUUUCAACAACGGAUCUCUUGGUUCUGGCAUCGAUGAAGAACGCAGCGAAAUGCGAUAAGUAAUGUGAAUUGCAGAAUUCAGUGAAUCAUCGAAUCUUUGAACGCACAUUGCGCCCCUUGGUAUUCCGGGGGGCAUGCCUGUUCGAGCGUCAUUACAACCCUCAAGCUCUGCUUGGAAUUGGGCACCGUCCUCACUGCGGACGCGCCUCAAAGACCUCGGCGGUGGCUGUUCAGCCCUCAAGCGUAGUAGAAUACACCUCGCUUUGGAGCGGUUGGCGUCGCCCGCCGGACGAACCUUCUGAACUUUUCUCAAGGUUGACCUCGGAUCAGGUAGGGAUACCCGCUGAACUUAAG